AGGGAAUCUUCCGCAAUGGACGAAAGUCUGACGGAGCAACGCCGCGUGAGUGAAGAAGGCCUUCGGGUCGUAAAACUCUGUUGCCGGGGAAGAACAAGUGCCGUUCGAACAGGGCGGCGCCUUGACGGUACCCGGCCAGAAAGCCACGGCUAACUACGUGCCAGCAGCCGCGGUAAUACGUAGGUGGCAAGCGUUGUCCGGAAUUAUUGGGCGUAAAGCGCGCGCAGGCGGUUUCUUAAGGCUGAUGUGAAAUCUUGCGGCUCAACCGCAAGCGGUCAUUGGAAACUGGAAGACUUGAGGGCAGAAGAGGAGAGUGGAAUUCCACGUGUAGCGGUGAAAUGCGUAGAGAUGUGGAGGAACACCAGUGGCGAAGGCGACUCUCUGGUCUGUAACUGACGCUGAGGCGCGAAAGCGUGGGGAGCAAAC
RNAcentral lists this ribosomal RNA (426 nucleotides) under uncultured bacterium. Its description in RNAcentral is "bacterial SSU rRNA". It matches the Rfam family "Bacterial small subunit ribosomal RNA", at positions 356 to 773 of the family's 1533-position model. The record is from RNAcentral.